This is an RNA transcript of Capra hircus (goat), 2125 nucleotides long. It is a transcript of the gene named carbonic anhydrase 1-like, with no coding region annotated. The transcript is spliced from 7 exons. Lineage: Eukaryota; Metazoa; Chordata; Mammalia; Artiodactyla; Bovidae. The record is from RefSeq and is a predicted model, not a curated record.
AACUGUGGAUUCAGUCGUCUAUUGCACGUUCAGUGACAGUCAGUUAUUCCAGGUCUUCCCUUUGUGAUCAGAAGAAGAAAACUAAGUAGAAGACCAUGGCAAGUCCUGACUGGGGAUAUGAUGGUGAAAACGGUCCUGAACACUGGUGCAAGCUGCAUCCCAUUGCAAAUGGAAAUAACCAGUCUCCUAUCGACAUUAAAACCAGUGAAACCAAGCGUGAUCCCUCUCUGAAACCUCUCAGUAUCUCCUACAAUCCAGCCACAGCCAAAGAAAUCGUCAACGUGGGACAUUCCUUCCAUGUAAACUUUGAGGACAGUGAUAAUAGAUCAGUGCUGAAAGGCGGCCCUCUACCUGAGAGCUACAGGCUGCGUCAGUUCCAUUUUCACUGGGGCAGCACCGAUGACUGUGGCUCUGAGCACUUAGUGGAUGGAGCCCCAUUUUCUGCAGAGCUUCAUUUAGUUCACUGGAAUUCUGCCAAGUACCCCAGCUUUGCUGAUGCCGCCUCACAGGCUGAUGGUUUGGUGAUUGUCGGCGUUUUGAUGAAGGUGGGUCAGGCCAACCCAAACCUUCAGGAAGUACUUGAUGCCCUAAAAACAGUUAAAACUAAGAACAAGAAAGCUCCAUUCACAAAUUUCAACCCCUCUGUUCUCCUGCCUUCAUGCACGGAUUACUGGGCCUACUUUGGUUCACUGAACUCACCCUCCUCUUCAUGAGAGUGUCACCUGGAUCAUCUUUAAAGAGACCAUCAGUGUGAGCGCGGAACAGCUGGCGCAGUUCCGCAGUCUGCUAGCAAAUGCUGAAGGCGAUCAAGAAGUCUGCAUCAAGCAGAACUACCGACCACCCCAGCCUCUGAAGGGCAGGACAGUGAGAGCUUCAUUCUGACGGGCCCUAGAGGAAGCUCACCUUCCCUCAAGAAGCACAGCUCUGCUUCUGACAUAAUCCAACAAAACAAGCUUUAAGAAACACAUUUAUUUCAAUACUAGCAAGACAGCCUGCUUGCGAAUUUACUCUGCAGAACGCAAAAUCUUUUUCUUCUUUAUGUUGAACUCAAACAGUAAUCUGUAAGUUCACUAAACUUGUGUUUAAAUUCAAUCUGUUGCAUUGACUUCCUUAUCACUGCAAUUAAGGCAUACUUGAUUUCUUCAAGACUUUAUCCCUCCCCAUUUUAUUCAGUUUGAUUGGACCAAAAAUAAUUUUAUCCCUUUCUUCUUGUCUAUUACGUACUAUACUUUUAAAUGGCAUUAGGUUCUACUCCAUUUACAUUCAAGAAUCUUAAAUGCUUUCAUUUGCAACAUUAUUCUGAUGCAAUAUCAGGUCUAUUACUCAAAUAUAAUGACCUAAGAGCAGCUUGAGAUGCAAUGUUAAGAAUUCAUUUGCUUACGCUUGAAGACAAAUAUGCAGCUAAAAUGACAACUGGAUUUUAUAUUAUGGUCAAAUAAAUGGCCCAACAUUGCUACCGUUUGUGUGCUCUGUUAUAAAAACGAUGCAUCUCAUUUAAGAACUGACACUUCUGGUUAUUCCUCCACCCAAUAGCAAGGCCAAUGGGGUUGUUCCAUUAUUACAACUAGUUAGCUUAUAUGAAGAAUCUGUAUGUCAGAUUUGGAAGAAAAAUCACCUGUGAGUUAUUUUUAAAAAUAAUGAAGGAAUCACUUGACUUAGAAUCAUACAGAAACAUCACAUAAUCUUUUAGUCUGGUGUGUACUUAACCUGAAGUCGGUUCUUUCUGAAGCCAUAUCUACACUCAGAAUUCUACAAAUCUUGUGUCCAGCAUUUAGUUUUGUGUUUUCUUUACUUUCUCUUCCCUGAGAAAUCAUAAUGGCGAUCAAAACCCACAUCCAUUCCCAUGUUCAAGUCUUGUCUGAUGUCACAGAAUCAGUCAAAACUUCUCACAAUUGUAAUCAUGGUUAAAAAGACAGACAAACCAGAUUCUUUAUUGCUCUGGGGCAAUAAAGAUCCUAGGAGACAUCUUUGUACCUAAAAAUCCUAGGAGACAUCUUUGGAAAUUUUUAUUUGGAGCCCAGAAUUUAAGUGAAUCUUUAUUAAAAAUGGAAGGGCCAAGGAGCACUUCAUUUAUCUCAGCCCCCAUAAGCAUUCUAAAGAAUUACAUACUUUCUUUGCAAACCUA